This 477-nucleotide ribosomal RNA is filed under the name uncultured bacterium. RNAcentral's name for it is "partial 16S ribosomal RNA". It matches the Rfam family "Bacterial small subunit ribosomal RNA", at positions 28 to 507 of the family's 1533-position model. The record is from RNAcentral.
GAUUAACGCUGGCGGCGUGCAUAACACAUGCAAGUCGAACGAUGAAACUUUAAUGAACCCUUCGGGGAGAAUUAAAGCGGAUUAGUGGCGAACGGGUGAGUAACGCGUGAGUAACCUGCCUUACACAAGGGGAUAGCCUUUGGAAACGAAGAAUAAUACCCUAUAAAACCAUAAAAGCACAUGCAAUUAUGGUCAAAGUGAUAGCGGUGUAAGAUGGACUUGCGUCUGAUUAGCUAGUUGGUGAGAUAAAAGCCCACCAAGGCAACGAUCAGUAGCCGGCUUGAGAGAGUGUACGGCCACAUUGGGAAUGAGACACGGCCCAGACUCCUACGGGAGGCAGCAGUGGGGAAUUUUGCACAAUGGGGGAAACCCUGAUGCAGCGACGCCGCGUGAUUGAGAAGGCCUUCGGGUUGUAAAAAUCUUUUGUAUAGGAAGAAAAUGACAGUACUAUACGAAUAAGGUCCGGCUAAUUACGUG